Molecule: ribosomal RNA, 497 nt
Filed under: uncultured bacterium
Lineage: Bacteria
Description: partial 16S ribosomal RNA
Rfam family: Bacterial small subunit ribosomal RNA
Source: RNAcentral
GAUGAACGCUGGCGGCGUGCCUAAUACAUGCAAGUCGAGCGAACGGACGAGAAGCUUGCUCCUCUGAUGUUAGCGGCGGACGGGUGAGUAACACGUGGAUAACCUACCUAUAAGACUGGGAUAACUUCGGGAAACCGUAGCUAAUACCGGAUAAUAUUUUGAACCGCAUGGUUCAAAAGUGAAAGACGGUCUUGCUGUCACUUAUAGAUGGAUCCGCGCUGCAUUAGCUAGUUGGUAAGGUAACGGCUUACCAAGGCAACGAUGCAUAGCCGACCUGUGAGGGUGAUAGGCCACACUGGAACUGAGACACGGUCCAGACUCCUACGGGAGGCAGCAGUAGGGAAUCUUCCGCAAUGGGCGAAAGCCGGACGGAGCAACGCCGCGUGAGUGAUGAAGGUCUUCGGAUCGUAAAACUCUGUUAUUAGGGAAGAACAUAUGUGUAAGUAACUGUGCACAUCUUGACGGUACCUAAUCAGAAAGCCACGGCUAACUACGUG